UGAAAAGAUCUGAUGAUUUUGUACAGGGGAAUUUCCCUGCACAAGCUCUCUUCUCUUGUCUGCCACCAUGCGAGACAUGGCUUUCACCUUCUGCAGUGAUUGUGAGGCUUCCCUAGCCACAUGGAACUAUGGUGUCAGAAGUGGGAUCUGAAGUAGAGCCUUAACAAUCCCCAAGAGUGCUGAGUGAACAAGCAAGGUACCUGCAAGGACCUACUUUUGUCCUUUGAUCUCUCAAAGUGGCUGGGGAUCAUGGUGAAGGCCCCUCAUGCAUAAUAAAGCAGAGAAGAAUGUAAAAGGUUGCUACAUCAAUAAUCAAUUUCUGGUGAGCAUAAUUAUAGGUAAUGUAAAAUGAGACAAUAUUGCUUUUCAUCAUUUCUUGAAAGAACUCUUACAGUCCAUGAUUUUGAAAAAAGAAAUCUAAGUUCACUCUUUCUUUUCUAUAACAAAAAGUCAUUAUCCAGUAGAAGUUCAAGAGUAAAAUCUGAAGGCAGCUUAUCUGACGUGGGCACAUGUUCUUGCCACUUGUUAAAUAUAACUUUCUAACACUAACUUCUCCAGACCUCAGAUUUUCAACUCUCUAAAAUGGAAAACUCUAGAACUGCAGCUGAACUGAGCAUUUUAGGGAAGAAACAAACAUACACACGAUAUAUAUAUAGUCAGAUUAUGAACCCAGUGUAGCCCAGUAUGCAAAAAUUUCUCAGUAACAGAGAUCCCCAAGAGAAAAAUAUGAUUUAGCCUAUCUCAGUGGCCUUUCAUGUGGCAAAUUAAAAGUUAAAGUCCAUAAUGAGAAAUAUAUGGGCAGCCAGUGACACCAUCCAUUUAAUGUAGACUUUCAACAUCUCUGACAGUCAUUCUCUGUUGUACCCCAACCUGCUUAUAUAUUGGGGUGAUAUCACCUUUUGAUCAUAACAUACAUAAACCUCAACCUCAAUAAGAAAUAUUUAUGGACAACCAGAUAUUCUGUGUUUCCAGUCAAAACUCAGGUAGAUCACAUUUUAUGUGACAGGAGAAGGCACAGUCGAUGCCCAGUUAACCCGGAGAUCAUCUCUGCCUGCAGCUUCCUAUCAUCAUAGCAAGCUCUUUCCCUGCAGUCCACCGUCUGUAUCUGCCCUUUGCUAUAUAGAUAGCAGAAAUAAGCAUCUGAAAAGAUGCUCAACACCAUAUGUCACUAGGGAGUUCAAAUUAAA
RNAcentral lists this long non-coding RNA (1187 nucleotides) under Homo sapiens (human). Its description in RNAcentral is "HSALNT0187674". The record is from RNAcentral. Lineage: Eukaryota; Metazoa; Chordata; Mammalia; Primates; Hominidae.